UUAGAAGUGUUUUGCCAAGUCACAA
This 25-nucleotide non-coding RNA is filed under the name Rattus norvegicus (Norway rat). Lineage: Eukaryota; Metazoa; Chordata; Mammalia; Rodentia; Muridae. The record is from RNAcentral.